RNAcentral lists this long non-coding RNA (1389 nucleotides) under Sus scrofa (pig). Its description in RNAcentral is "lncRNA (ENSSSCG00070006236.1)". Lineage: Eukaryota; Metazoa; Chordata; Mammalia; Artiodactyla; Suidae. The record is from RNAcentral.
AGCAUUGAUGGUAAGAGAAAAGUUAACAAUUUCAAGUAUAUGUAUACAAAUAAAGCAGGGAACAAGGAGAAACAUGACAUUGCUCUAUUUCCAGCUCUGUUCCCUUCCUGAAAGCUAGCGUCUGGCAUGCCUGUUGGUUAAUUUCCAGAAGAGUGCCUGGGCAGCAUUAUAUGUCCUCUUUCAUUACAUAAAUUAGCUUCAAGUAUAUAAAUGUAAAUAAACCAAUGAGGCAGAACUUCAUUUCAGUUAUUUAACUCUCCAUUGGUGUGCAUGGGUGCCAGAGGUAAAACGCAAAUUCAUCUAGUUUCUACAGGACAUUCUGUUUUCAGCGGACACAAGAUUUUAAUUUAUGCCCUUUCCCCAUAUGCAUUUCUGAGUGUGCUCAACAGAAGGUGUGUGGAGAGUGUUUGUUCUCAGAGUUUGUCUGCUGGCUCCUUUACGACUGGAGAACAGGUAGUAAAAGAACUCCAGAGACUUGCCUACAUCAGUGAAAAGAAAGAAGCUGCAAGAAGUCUGACCACUAAGGUAAGGGAAACUACUAAGGUAAGGGAAACAUUUCUUCAGUCACAUUUUUACCGCCAACAAUGGAUUUUUUUUUUUUUAAAGUGAAAUGUAAGAAGUCAGGGAAUAUCAAGUGCUGGCAAUUAUUAUUAUCCUUUGUGUGUACUUGAUAUGUGUGAAUUUGAAAAAUGAUUUUAAUAUUGGGAAUUUUAAAAGAAUGACUAGGGGGAGGCGUGCAGUUGUUCUGAAAGGCCUUUAUGCGUGUACCCUACUAGGCGCUGAAGGAAAUGAUGGGUCACAGAUGUAGUCCCAUUCUUUCUAAUUCUCUGAAGAUCUAGGACUAUUGCUUUCCUGACAUGACAUCCCUCCUGAUGUAUCUUUCUAGAACAUCGCAAUUACUAUUUUCACUGCCAAUCUUGUAGCACGCAUUCCGUGCCUCUGACUUGAUCUGGGCUCAUUUGAAGGAUAAUGGACUGACUGCUAUCUCAGCAAACUGAUUCCAAAGGUAAUUGUAAUUUAUGAUCUAUAUGUAUCAUCACUAUUUUCUAAACGGGAAAGUGUGAUGAAAGAAUCAAAUCACUGGCAUUUUCUUUUUAAGGUGUCUACUACACUGACAUCUCCAAAAGUAGGCUUUGCCACAUAACUCAUAAGUUUUGGUUAUUUGAUAGAUUUAUAUAAAUGGCAGGUCAAUUACAAUUAUUAUAUCCAUUUAAGAGAAAAGAAAACAAAGGCCAAGGAGUUUGAUUUCCUUGAGCAAUACAGGCCAUGAUAUAGUAAAGGAGUGUGAUGUGGAUGACCUGUUAAAAUUCACAUGUGCUGCAGUGGAUGAUGUCUGUGACUAUGGAAAGAGUAAAUAAAAAGAUUGAUAGAAAUAUCCCUGUCCUUGAU